AGCCCUAAGGUGUUAUACACAUCAGAUUGCAAAUCCGAAGUUGCAGAGUAACUUUUGCUGGGGCUU
This 66-nucleotide transfer RNA is filed under the name Aphanius apodus. RNAcentral describes it as "tRNA-Cys". The record is from RNAcentral. Lineage: Eukaryota; Metazoa; Chordata; Actinopteri; Cyprinodontiformes; Aphaniidae.